Molecule: non-coding RNA, 3766 nt
Organism: Thamnophis sirtalis
Lineage: Eukaryota; Metazoa; Chordata; Lepidosauria; Squamata; Natricidae
Source: RefSeq, a predicted model, not a curated record
AGGGAAAAUCUUAAAGCUUAAAUUUACAUAUGGGAAACCUUGUGUCAGAUUGGGAAACUUUGUGUCAAGCGUUUGUCUUUAAAUGACUACCUCUUUCUAAUUAUAAAAUAAACCCAUACAAUCGAAUCAGCAUAUUUUAAAAAAAUACUUUUAAAAAUGUAAAUUAGAGUGAAAUAUUAUAUUUUGCUCCUGGAUAAAUGCAAGGUCUGCGAUCACUGUCUAUUAAGACUUGAUUUUUCCAUACUAUUUCAGUGAAUUGUUUUCACUUCCUCUUGUAGACAGAAAUUAGAGAUUUCUGUCCCGGAAGUCUGAGCUCGAAAACGAGGUAAGAGCACUCUAACGUUUAUGUCUUCUACCUAGUAUGCAAGCGUUUAAUUACGGUAGUAUUUCGACCACAAGACUGAAGUCGCCGGCGUUGUACGUCAUUUCGAGCUAAUAGACUCGAUCGAAAAAGAACUUGCGCGCUCCCUGCUGGGUGUCCUAUUCGGAAAUGCUAAAUGGCAGCAAAGGGACUCUUAAGAACAAAAAGCAGGAAACGAGAGAGAGCUACGAUCCAGACUCCAAGAUUUGGAAUGCAAGGGGCUAUAUGGAAUACAACCUUUAGGAAUAUAGUUUGGACUGUUUCAAGAGAAGGAAGUGCAAGAUCCUGACUGGGCAUCACCAUGUAGUUAUAAACAAGCCUCGCUGAGGUACAGCUUCAGCCUGCUGGGAUAUGCUGGCUUCUCUGGUGAGGUAAAAAGAUUAAAUUGCAACCAGUUUUUUUUAAAAAAAAUAUACCACUUAAAUGUAAUUCUUUUACUUGGAAAGCAUUGCAACCUUAUAAAUGGAGUUUAAUGUGAUGGUUAUAUGACAACUUUUAAACUCUUCACAAGACACAGUUUGUAUCAAACAAGUUAGGGUUUUUUUUACAUUUAUAAAGCUCCUUUUUUGCAUUUGCAACCAGAAAGCUCAAAUGACCAGUUUAUCAAAAAUUGAUUUAUUGUGAGUCCCAAAGGCCAAAACCCCAUUUAGAGCCACACUGGUUUAAUAUUUUAUGAGAGAGUAUUGCCAAAUUGUUUUCCACAUUCUCUUUAUUGUUAAAUCUAUAAAUUAUGGUAUGGAGAAAUGAAUAGUGCUUAUUUCCCUAUUUUUUUUAAUUGGAAACAAUAUUUUAAGAAGCCAUCACAGCUUUCUAAGGAUUGGUCAUAAGAGCACUUUGUAGCAAGUAUCCUUUUCAAGCAGAAUACAUUUCAAAUGUAAAACACCUAGAUGCUGAAUUGUGUGUGAAUGCACUAGAAUUCUAAUUAGUUUUGCUAAUAACAGGGGCAUUAUUUUUGAUAAACUGUAAUCUCAGCUCAUGUGAACAAGUUUGAAAAAGUAACAGAUCUAGAUCUCUUCCAAAUUGUUUGGAAAAGAUUUAGUCAGACAGCCCCAUUAUGGUUUACUGAUGAACAACAAUGUCCUGGUGCACACUACUUAAAAUAUAGGUUUGCUUCAUCUGCAAGUAGGCAACAUUAAUAAUAAAUUAUAGGUAGCUCUAUCAGUGGAUUAUUCAGCAUAUCUAAAUCAUGCCCUCUGCUUUAUUCCUCUCAGGAAGAAAGCCAAAGGAAAAAAAUGCAAAUAUACUGCAUUUUAUUUGAGACAUUUGUUCCACAAAAAUUCCAAACUUUUCUUUGGACAAAAAAGCUUACAAAAUAGGUAACUACCACAAAACACAACAGUCUGCUCUUUUUUCUUAUUUUGUAUGUCAUGCAAUGCAAUGCAAAAUUAGUGAUACUAAUUUCUAAUUAGUUCAAUUAUGGAUUAUUGGGGAUUUUCUUCUUUUUAUAUAAUUGCCACUUCCUCUCUUAGAAUGGGAGGGAAUAUUUAAAGGUGCUUACCCAAAUCAAGAUCACAGAAAUCUCUACAGGUAUGAAGGACUUUGAAAGGUUUACCGCCUACCUAAGGGUAUGGGCUCCUUACCUUGUUCACUGAUCAAUGUUUACAUAUUCCCCUUUGUGCCCUUUUGAUAUUAGGAACUUCUAAUAAUUUAUGGAGGUAGGAAAGAUAAUUUAAGCCUGAAAUUAACUGCAUUUUAAAUUUGAUCAAAAAGAACAUUUAUGUUGCCCCAAUAACAAAGGUUAUUAUGACCAACAAAUGAACAUCACUGGAUUUAUAGCUGAAACUGCUGAAUAUGCUGAAAUGUCUUAAUUAAACUGUUAGAAACAAAAUCCAGUAUUCACAAACUAUGGCAUUUUAUUUCAGAGGCCUUUGCUUACAUUUGUACAAUAUAUUACAUAAUUCCAUUGUCUGCAGAACCUAAUAUAUAUUUUAUAGCUUUUCUUUAUAUGCCUUUCCUUCAAUGUUUGUCAACAAUUUUUACAGUCCUGUACAUAUCUGAAGAGUUUGAAACCAUUUUCAAUAAAAUCAGUUACCUUUAAACACACACUACUAAGACUGAAAAUGCUUUUCUUAGAAAAGUCAAAUGUAAAGAUUCGGACACUCUAGCAUCUACAAACAGAAUGUUUGAAAUUCUUACAUGUUGUAUUGCCAGAAAAAGAAAAAAGAAAAAAACAUGCCAGCCCCCAUAAGCCCAGCCAAAAGAAGUACACAGAACUACAAUUAAAACAGUAAAACAAUCUGUACAGUAAAGUACUGUGUAUUAACAGUGCCAGGUAUUAAAUAGCUCGAAUGAACACUCCCGCAAUAUACAAAUGUCUUACAAAGUUGUGUAAUUAAAUACAAGUGCCAAACGAGAGGGCAUGGGUUCCAUACAACAUAAAGUCAAUAGAAGUGAAAACAGCUGAGUUGAUUUUGGAUUUUAUACAAGGUAAUUAAAAAAAAAAUCAUUUCAACCACUCUGUUAGCUAUUUAUAUUAUAAACAACUAUCCUUUUGUGGCAAUGUUCUUCUCAACAAUGACUUAAUAUUAACACCCUUUACUCCUUCUUGAAGACCUCUCAAUUGCAGCUCAUAAUAAAAUAAGCAUUACUAAUGAAAUAUUGUUUGCUUUAACUGAAAAGAAACUUUUACAAGAAAACACAAAAAUAUAAGUGUUAUAAUUCAUUAUGAAUAAAUAUACACUUUAAACUGGCUAAAUACAAUCUUUGUACAUUAAGAUUUAAUACAGUUUGUUAGCCGUUUUCUUCCUUUUUCACAAUUUAUCAAAAUUAAAAAAAAUACUGAUUCGUAGAAAAAUGGCGAAGUACAGUAGUUUCAUUCCAAUUCAUGGGCUAUCAAAAACCCACGAUAACCUAUUUUGCCUAAUUCAAACCUGUAAACAUUAGUCAGCCUUUUAAACAGAAUCCUUAUAUUUGGUUGUCAAUCUGAUGAAAAACAUCCUGUUAACGGCAGGUUUGGAACUGAAUUACCUGUGCUUGACUUGUACAGUUAUAGUCACCAUUAAGGCAACAGUUAAAAAACAAUUAUCUUGUAAAAAUGAAAAUAGGCUCAUUUUUCCUAAAGAAUGGAAAAAUAUCAAAUGUUCCAGCUUUAACAAAAUACCAGGGAAUACGUGAACAGUAAGCCACUUUAAUGUUUUAAUUUGGCCUACCCAACAACUGCACGCUUACCACAUUGAUUCUACUGGCAGUGAACAACUUCCAUUUGCCACAGUGGAAGGCCUUCAAUUCAUUCAACAUACAAUUCCCAGACAAGUUGGAAACAAUUAUUGCUUGAGGAAAAGCAGUCUUUUGUACUUUUUCUUCAUAAAAGUGCACUUAAGUGCAAAGUUAGCUUGUCAAGAUUUUUUUUAAAUACAAAAUAGUGCUUGUCUGAAUUUUGUGCCACUGUGCAGUAUAAAAAGUGGC